GACGAACGCUGGCGGCGUGCCUAAUACAUGCAAGUCGAACGAGUGGCGGACGGGAGAGUAAUGUAUGGGGAUCUGCACGAUAGAGGGGGAUAACUACUGGAAACGGUGGCUAAUACCGCAUACUAACGGAUGAACCCAUAUGGGAUUAGCUAGUAGGUGGGGGAAAGGCUCACCUAGGCGACGAUCUCUAGCUGGUCUGAGAGGAUGUCAGGCCCCCCUGGGACUGAGACACGGCCCAGACUCCUACGGGAGGCAGAAGUGGGGAAUAUUGCACAAUGGGCGCAAGCCUGAUGCAGCCAUGCCGCGUGUAUGAAGAAGGCCUUAGGGUUGUAAAGUACUUUCAGCGGUGAGGCGUUACCCGCAGAAGAAGCACCGGCUAACUCCGUGCCAGCCGCCGCGGUAAUUC
RNAcentral lists this ribosomal RNA (406 nucleotides) under uncultured bacterium. RNAcentral describes it as "partial 16S ribosomal RNA". It matches the Rfam family "Bacterial small subunit ribosomal RNA", at positions 28 to 526 of the family's 1533-position model. The record is from RNAcentral.